UCUACAAUACUCGUUGACGUUAACUUGACAUUAGCAUUAGCUGCGGACGGCCAAGCGGUCAUAUAAUACGAAUUCAUAAAAUGUUGUUGCGUGUUUGGUCUUCGCGUUUCCUCCGGGCGGUUCGUUCGGCGGCGGGUUUGGCCUCGCUCUCGCCAGGGGGGACAAGAGUGAAAAGUUUGUCCUGCGGACGGCGGCUGUCGCCAUCUGCAACAGGUGAUGACCGUUGCCGGCCACUGGAGGGCGUCAGAGUGUUGGACCUGACCCGCGUCCUGGCCGGACCGUUCGCCACCAUGAUGCUGGGAGACCUGGGAGCCGAAGUCAUCAAAGUGGAGAAACCAGGUGCAGGCGACGACACCCGGGCGUGGGGCCCCCCCUUCGUGGGCUCGGAGAGCGUCUACUUCCUCAGCGUCAACCGCAACAAAAAAAGCGUCGCCGUGGACCUCAAACAUCCUCGAGGAGCACAAGUCGUCCAGGAGCUGGCGGGCGCGUGUGACGUGAUGAUGGAGAACUUCCUGCCGGGCAAACUGUCUGCGAUGGGCCUGGGAUACGAGGAGCUCAGCAAACGGAACCCGGCGCUCAUCUACUGCUCCAUUUCAGGUUACGGACAAACGGGGCCUCAAAAUCAAAGCCCGGGGUACGACUCCAUUGCCUCAGCUGUGUCCGGGAUGAUGCACAUCACCGGGCCAGAGGACGGCGAGCCGGUCCGGCCCGGCGUGGCCAUGACUGACCUGGCGACCGGCCUGUACGCCCACGGCGCCGUCUUGGCCGCCCUGCUGCAGCGCCGGCGCACGGGGACUGGUGCGCACGUCGACUGUGACCUGCUGUCCUCUCAGGUGUCGUGUCUCAGCCACGUCGCCGCCAACUUCUUGAACGGCGGCAAGGAGGCCAGGCGCUGGGGGACGGCCCACGAAAGCAUCGUGCCCUACCAGGGCUUCCAAACCAAAGACGGCCAAGUGGUGGUAGCGGCAGUGAACGACCGGCAGUUCGCCCGAAUGUGUCGGGUUUUGCGGCUUCCGGAACUCGGCCGGCAGCCUCGCUACUCGACCAACAAGCUCCGAGUCCAAAACCGUCGACAGCUGGUGCACGCGCUGGGGCAGAGGUUUCUGCAAGAGACGACGGCCGAUUGGCUGAGACGCUUUGAAGGCUCAGGUGUUCCCGUCGGACCGAUCAACAGCAUCCGUCAGGUCUUCGCUGACCCGCAGCCGUCACGACAACAGCGGACGGGAAGCCGCGGAGGAGGCCCGGCCGGCCGGAUGGCCGACGCGUGACCCCGUCGGGACGCGAGAGAACUUCGGAUGUACGAAAGAUUUCUGGGGAGGAGCAGAACGUUCCAGUGGUGUUCACUCUUUAAAGUGGUCACGCCGAGGAUGAUGAGGAUGAGGAGCCCCACAGAGGAAGGUGAGCAGACGUGUGAUGACACAUCAAAGCUCUGACGUGUGACAUCAUCAACAGCGUUCACGCGCACACACGAAGGCCUCGUCUGCGGCGUGGACCGGACAUCUCAACUCUGUCUCGGCCCUGAAAAUGGCAGAUAGCGGAGCGUCCGCCGGGCCCGGCGGAACCUUGACGACCGUCUGGCGGGCGAGUGGUUUGAUUGACAGCUUCUUUUGGAUUGGAUCGACAUCGCCACUGACGUGGUAAGCAGCCCGCACUUCCUAAAAUGGCCGCUGAGAAGCUCGUCGUAGGGAUCAGGGAGUCGAGGAUGACGAACGAUUCCUGACUCCCGAAUCACAAGAAAGAGCCGACAUGAGCGAGUCUCACCAAAAAAAGCCGGGGGGAAAAAAAGGAGCUUUUAGAGAUGUUGAUGCUAAUAUUUUGUUUUUGUGACAUCUCAAACUAUAAAACAACAAAGUCAAGACGAAAAAGUGCUUUUGAUGGCAAAUGCAGAUCCAAAAACUAAGACAGGCACUGUAAGAGACGCUGACUCCAGUUGGAUGUCGGUGGCCUUUUUACAGGGCGAUCGUCCAUCGCUGCAUGAACGGAGUCUUCUUUUCACGAUGGCGCCGCACGCUUUCUACGACACGUAUUCUGUUUAUAACCUACUUUGCUCGAGCGUCAGGUCCCUAAACUUGCCCCGCCUCCGGCGUGUUGGCAUUUUCCUCCCUCAUAAUUGACACGGCGAGCCGAACUUCACCGCCUAAUCGUUCUCUUCUCCUCAAAAGCUGUGCCGAUUUGAAAUCCAAAGGGAUGCGACGCCGCCAUCUUCUGGUAUCAAUUUGUCAUUACAGUGGUUUACAAACCUGGAUUGAAAAGACGAACCGGGCGAGACCCUCUUCCACGCCUACCUCAAAACGUACUCGGCGAGUAUAUUCGUCGGUGGCGGCGAACGCUCGGAUUCCGGUCGAGCGAUAGAAACGUUCGCAGCAGUGAAGGAGUUAAAGACUUCGUGAAUUUGUCUCCGAUCUUCCAUCGAUAUCCUGGAAACCAAAAACGAUUGUUACUUGCCUCGUGACCAUCGCGCCUUUUCAAGAUGCGUUGUGGGAUACGCCGAGGGCCCUGCGGCACACGGGGACGACCUUCGCUCGCUACGCAUUCCGAAUGGCCGACCGACUAUUGCCAAACAAAGUCGACGCCACAUCGACCGACACGGCUGAAGCGAUGCGUGCGUGCGCGCUCGAAGAGGCGUGCGAGUGUGCGUGUGUGGAGGUCAAGUCAGGUGAGGACAUGUCGACCGCACGCUCACACAUGCACAGGCGCGCUCGGCCAUCGGCGCGCGCAGCGGCGAAUGUCGAUGAGGACGAGGCGCCUGCGGGGCGGGCGGUCUCCGGUGGCCCCAGAAGUCAGUCGGGCGCGCGGAGGAGAAGAAAGCCGUCGUCGACGUGCCGAGGAGAUUUCGAUUUGAUGUCGCUCCGACGUAUGCUCGAUGUCCUUGGCCCCGCUGCCGUGAAUUAUUCAUAUACAUCGAUGCAUUUUGCUGUUGCUUAAGGUGAGCGCACUCGAAAGCGAGGCGGCGCAUCGACUUGAUCGGCCGCUCGGCGGCUGGCGUCAAAGGCGAAGAGUCGCUUCGGUCCGCGCGCUCGCCUGAAACGCCGCCGAACGCUUCCGAUGGAAUUCUUUCAAACACAUUGAAAGACAAAACACAACUUUCAUUCAGAAAACAUGGAUUAAGACACAUUUUCAAAGCACAUUUAAAGACAGAACCGCUUAAAUGACACAUCGUAUCGUAUUUAUUGAAGACACGUAAAAAUUAAAAACACAUUUUAGGUAGGGCCUGCCCAAUGGGGAUUUGUUUCGCCCGAUUCUGAAAAUUCCGAUAAGCAAUUAAUCGGCCGAUUAAUUUGUACAAAUAUAUUACGAAUAAAAGGACUUUUUGGAAUCCCUUAAUGUUUACAAUAAUAAAGAUAUGAAUUACAGGCAGAACAUUGGACUGUUUUACAAUAUUAACUUUUGUUUGAAUGUCAUGAUUUGUCUUCUGCUGUAAUGUGUUGCGGAAAAGAAAAAAUGGCAACAGCCAAUCAGCAAAAAAAGCUGCCAAAAUGAAUAUCGGCCGAUUAAAUCGGCCGGCGACUCGUCGCUCGGACGCCGAUGUGAGCAAUUUUACAUUGAAAGGCACAUUUUGCGUGACUACAUUGAUUCAAAACACAUUUCAAGACAUUUCUGUUUCUCUUUGAGGGCUGCUCAUCUGACCUUUGACCCGUCCCGUAUGUCAGCGCGCCGAUGAAGGCGAAGCUUCCCGUCGUGUGACACGCGGCCCCGCGAUGCACUGCGGCGGCAGCGGGUUGCUCGGGGAGAAUCAUUGUCAUCAUUAGCGCGCGGCAUCAAACGCUCUCACAAGUCAGCGGCGAAGGAGCCGCUUGUUCCCGGUGGUCCCCAAUGCAGCGAUGCGUGUGCGUGUGCGUGCACGCGCGCGUGUCCUACAUAAUACGCUCACUGAUGAACUUCACCUGAACUCCGACGCUCCCCCGUACGGCCCGCGCGUGUUACCAUGGCUACCCCCGCUAGCCCGCCAUUAACCGCCGUUCGUUCAUUCGUCCGUCCCUUUAUCUAUUCGUGCGCCAUCCAUCCAUUCAUCUGUUCCUUCAUCCAUCUCUUCAACGAUUCAUCUGUUCAUUUGUCCAUUCACUGUUUGUGAAUGUUUGUAAAUUCAUGCGCUCAGAAAUGAAAAUCGCUGGCUCGGCGAAGGGUGGCGGCCGAGCCCCGGCGGACGCUCGAAAACUUCCGAGCAGCGCGCCAAACGUCCCGGCGAGCGUGAGCGGCUUCUUGAUGUUCGCGGUGGAAACUUCGGCGGCAAAAAGUCCCCAAAACAAACGCAAAAGGCAAAAGUGUCGCAUGGACAAAGUAGAAGAUGGAAGACAGAAAAGAAGAACGUGACUGGACCAAGAAGAUGUCAGAGGAGGAAGAGGUUGUCCAAACUACGGCCCGCGGCAGCAACUAAAAUAAACGUUGGACGCGGCCCGUGUUUGUUUGUCUGACGUGUACUGCAGUACGGCGGGAGAAGUACGGCGCACAUUCACGGUUCGGCAUUCACAAAUUCACCUCAUCGCUGAUUUUUCAGAAAGGACAAGAACGGCAACAAAGGUGGACUGAGUAGAACAUAUAAGAUAGGCAAAGAAGAUGUCAAAUGGACAAAGUGGAUAAAAGGUGACACAUAAUCACAGAGCCCUGACUUAAACCCAACUGAACAUCUCUGGAGAGACCUGGAAAUGGCUGCCCACCAACGUUCCCCAUCCGACCUGAGAGAACUGGAGAGGAUCUGCGAGGAAUGGCAGAUGAUCGGCAAAUGCAGGUGUGCAUCAUUCCCAAAAAGACUCAUUCGUGGCUGUAUUAGCUUCCACUAAAUACUCAGCAAAAGCUCGGAAUACUUCUGGCUGUGUGAUAUUUCGGUUUUUCUGCUAAAAUUUCAACCAUUUCGUUUUUUUGUCAAUAUGGGGUGCUGUGUGUACAUUAAGCAGGAAAACAAAUAUCUGCAAUGAUUUGAGCAAAUGGCUGCAACAUAACAAAGAGUGAACAAUUGAAGGGGGUCUGAACACUUUCCGUACCCACUGUAUGUCCCAAGUCCACGUGUGGAGAGUGGAGGACCUGCCCCGCCUCACAUUCGACAAGUUGCCAUUGCAAAUACAGUAUGAUUGGACUUCUA
Phyllopteryx taeniolatus (common seadragon) is the source of this 5077-nucleotide RNA transcript. It is a transcript of the gene named succinyl-CoA:glutarate-CoA transferase, with no coding region annotated. Lineage: Eukaryota; Metazoa; Chordata; Actinopteri; Syngnathiformes; Syngnathidae. The record is from RefSeq and is a predicted model, not a curated record. The transcript has 16 exons.